This is a long non-coding RNA of Cygnus olor (mute swan), 2268 nucleotides long. RefSeq lists it as uncharacterized. The transcript is spliced from 4 exons. NCBI's taxonomy places the organism in Eukaryota, Metazoa, Chordata, Aves, Anseriformes, Anatidae. The record is from RefSeq and is a predicted model, not a curated record.
GGGAGCCAGCCCCAAAGCUCAGGGUCUGUGCGGCAGGCUCCAAGGUGCUCCAGAAGACACGCUGCUGUGCCCCACGCGGGCCUGCAGCAGGCUGAGCACACCGUGCUGGCACGCAGGCUCCAGCAGGCUGUGACCUCCCCCAGAACUGCUGCAUGUGGGCUUGUGAGCGGUGUUUGCAGUUUGGAGAUGGCGGAAGGAUGGUAGUUGAGGUGUUGGCAGGUAUCAGCUUCCCGCCUUCAACCAGAAGGAAACUGUGGUGGAGUCAUGCAGGCAACACAGAACCCAAACCUGCUUUUAUGUACUACGUUGGACUCAACGUUCCAGCCUCCUGCUUGGGGUUUUUGGGGGGCUGGGGUCUGUAACUCCCACGUGCAUGCAGCCCCCUCCAGGUGGGUACGGUGCGCGCCUCUUCUCUCCCCCUGCAGCACUGCCCAGCCUUGUGCUCUCCCCUCUGCCUGCCAGGGACCUGCUGCAGCCUGUAGGGUGCAGAGCUGCUGGUGCUUGGCUAGAGGCAUGGCAGAGCUUGGAUUGCUCCUGCUGGGGCUGGGCAGAUGGCAGACAGGCUGGGCCAUAUCCCACAAAGGGGCACAGAGAAAGCCUCUGCCAGAAGCUUUUGUUUUGCUGCCGGAGCUCUUCUUUCAGCCUUGGUGUUUCCAGGGCAUCAACGGGGCCCUGUGAGCAGGAGCAGCCCUGGGGUGAUGGGGGUGUCUGGCCCUCUUCAGGGAGUCUCAGCAGGGCUGGUGGUGUCGUUUCCUGGUCUGGAUAGAUAUGGACAACCGAGAUGCAGGAGAGAGGCCGGGUUCACUGCUACAGCUUUGAAGUUUUCGAAGCAAACACGUGCAAGUCCUGCAAAGCACAAAAAUAAAGGAGAAGAAAGAGCCAAGCGGGACAGAAACCAGGGAGAAAGGUGGUGAUGGAGACAGCAGGGUGCAGCAAGGAGGAAGAAACACAAUCCACCCAAGUGGGUACAUAAUUUAUUUACCUAUUAGCUAUUAAUAAGCUGGCCUUUUGUAUCAAGUCUCCCGACGUCCUUGUAACAACUUCAGGCCUUUCUGCAGAGCAUCACCCUUUCUGGGCGUUCCUAUGCCACUUGCCAUGCUAACAUGAUUCUUGAUAUGUCCCUCACCCGGCAUUGCACCUUUGUUACUACCAUUCAGCUGAACAAGUAAUUAAUGUGAUUCCCCAUUGCUGCACCGUAACUGUAACCUCCAGGAAAUACCUGUGAGGUGGGAAUAUCUCCUAGGGACACUGCGCAUGUAUUGCUUUGGGUAGUGCCCAAAGAUUGAGGGAGGUCUUUGGGCCCUCCUUGUGAGCUGUGUUAAAGCAGAAUGGCCAAGCUGAUGGCCUGGUUGAGCACUGGACCUUCCCUUCCACCUUUUGCUGUCCAUGAUUACUGCAGGACUGGUUGUGAUACUUGAUACCAAGAUGCAGAUCAGCUGAAUGUAGUGAGGAGAAGACCCAUCCAUCUUGGUCAGCAAACUCACAGCUACCCUGCUGAGCUGAGUGAGUACAGCCUCCAGUGUGUGCCUUCCUCCAUCCUCCUUGCCAAGCUUGAAGAUGGACAAGAGGUGGGUUUAACCCUUCCCAUGUAUUCUUGGGAGAAAAUGCACUUAGAGGCAUAUUUACAGGGUAGUGACCAGGACACCAUACAGUAGGCUUGGAAGGACCCAUUAGAGCAGCCAAGGCCUCCUGUGCCUGUUUCUUCAUGGUUCAGGGAAUAAGUGAGGGAUGUUUGGUGCCACCUGGGAACCCCCUUGAAAGGCUCCCAGGGCCUCCCUGGGCCAUGGAAGUGCCACAGUUCAACUGGUCCCCCAAGUAUGCACCUGGUCCCCAGAGUAUGCACCUGGUAUCCCUUGGGCAUUGCACAGGACAGCAGCAGUGAGGCCAGCACCCAAGCGUGGAGCCACAGCUCCCGUCAAGGUGGCAACAUGCCUUGGUAGGACUGAGCUACAGACCACACCUGGGCAGAGCUGCACAGACACCGACCACAUCCGUAACCACCCAUAGGAUCUUCUAUUGCUGGAGGAAGAACUGUAAUUUAGGCUGCCUGAACUUGGCUGCAGUUCAUCACCCAUAGGAUGCAGAAGAAUCACCUGGUUGACAAGGUUCCCAUUUAUCUCCAGAUAAAAUGGUGCUUGGCUUGUGGCUGUAUACCACAGCUUGUGCUGAUACAGGAUUUUUGGAUGCUCUUGGGUUUGUGCCUGAUCCCAGACAGAUACGCUCUGUGCUUUCAGCAUUUACAGCCUUUAUUUCUUUUCCAAGACUUAA